Non-coding RNA from Mycena albidolilacea, 95 nucleotides. Lineage: Eukaryota; Fungi; Basidiomycota; Agaricomycetes; Agaricales; Mycenaceae. The record is from the annotation of a GenBank genome assembly.
GCAUUAAUGGGGUAGUGGUAACCUGGGUCGUUGCCAUAAGUUCUUUCGAACGCUUUCGUUUCGACCCGCCGGGGGUUCGAUUCCCCCUUAAUGCA